CGGGAUGUAGCGCAGUUGGUAGCGUACCACGUUCGGGACGUGGGGGUCGGAAGUUCGAAUCUUCUCAUCCCGA
Molecule: transfer RNA, 73 nt
Filed under: Bacteroidota bacterium
Lineage: Bacteria; Pseudomonadati; Bacteroidota
Also listed under: 1 other name
Description: Bacteroidetes bacterium (freshwater metagenome) tRNA-Pro
Rfam family: tRNA
About the family: Transfer RNA (tRNA) molecules are approximately 80 nucleotides in length.
Source: RNAcentral